RNAcentral lists this ribosomal RNA (322 nucleotides) under uncultured Pseudomonadota bacterium. Its description in RNAcentral is "bacterial SSU rRNA". It matches the Rfam family "Bacterial small subunit ribosomal RNA", at positions 28 to 351 of the family's 1533-position model. The record is from RNAcentral. Lineage: Bacteria; Pseudomonadati; Pseudomonadota.
AUUGAACGCUGGCGGCAUGCUUUACACAUGCAAGUCGAGCGGCAGCGCGGGGGCAACCCUGGCGGCGAGCGGCGAACGGGUGAGUAAUGCAUCGGAACGUGUCCCGUAGUGGGGGAUAACGCCGGGAAACCGGCGCUAAUACCGCAUAUGCUCUACGGAGGAAAGGGGGGACCCGCAAGGGCCUCCCGCUAUGGGAGCGGCCGAUGUCCGAUUAGCUUGUUGGUGAGGUAAAGGCUCACCAAGGCGACGAUCGGUAGCUGGUCUGAGAGGAUGAUCAGCCACACUGGGACUGAGACACGGCCCAGACACCUACGGGUGGCAG